UACGAAGGGUGCAAACGUUGCUCGGAAUCAUUGGGCGUAAAGAGCUCGUAGGCGGUUUGUCGCGUCUGCUGUGAAAACCGGAGGCUCAACCUCCGGCCUGCAGUGGGUACGGGCAAACUAGAGUGCGGUAGGGGAGAUUGGAAUUCCUGGUGUAGCGGUGGAAUGCGCAGAUAUCAGGAGGAACACCGAUGGCGAAGGCAGAUCUCUGGGCCGUAACUGACGCUGAGGAGCGAAAGCGUGGGGAGCGAACAGG
Molecule: ribosomal RNA, 253 nt
Filed under: uncultured bacterium
Lineage: Bacteria
Description: partial 16S ribosomal RNA
Rfam family: Bacterial small subunit ribosomal RNA
Source: RNAcentral